RNAcentral lists this ribosomal RNA (478 nucleotides) under uncultured bacterium. RNAcentral's name for it is "SSU rRNA". It matches the Rfam family "Bacterial small subunit ribosomal RNA", at positions 26 to 518 of the family's 1533-position model. The record is from RNAcentral.
AGGACGAACGCUGGCGGCGUGCUUAACACAUGCAAGUCGAGCGGAAAGGCCCUUCGGGGUACUCGAGCGGCGAACGGGUGAGUAACACGUGAGCAACCUGCCCCUGGCUCUGGGAUAGCCUUCGGAAACGGGGAUUAAUACCGGAUAUUCACUGCUUCCUGCAUGGGGGGUGGUGGAAAGUUUUUCGGCUGGGGUGGGGCUCGCGGCCUAUCAGCUUGUUGGGGGGGUGACGGCCCACCAAGGCGACGACGGGUAGCCGGCCUGAGAGGGCGACCGGCCACACUGGGACUGAGACACGGCCCAGACUCCUACGGGGAGGCAGCAGUGGGGGAAUAUUGCGCAAUGGGGCGGAAGCCUGACGCAGCGACGCCGCGUGCGGGAUGAAGGCCUUCGGGUUGUAAACCGCUUUCACCAGGGACGGAAGCGAGAGUGACGGUACCUGGGGAGAAGCGCCGGCUAACUACGUGCCAGCAGCCGC